RNAcentral lists this ribosomal RNA (502 nucleotides) under uncultured bacterium. Its description in RNAcentral is "bacterial SSU rRNA". It matches the Rfam family "Bacterial small subunit ribosomal RNA", at positions 28 to 509 of the family's 1533-position model. The record is from RNAcentral.
GAUGAACGCUAGCGGCAGGCUUAAUACAUGCAAGUCGAGGGGCAUCAAGGUACACGAAAGUGUAUUGUUGGCGACCGGCGGACGGGUGAGUAAUAGGUAGGUAACCUACCUCAUACUGAGGCAUAGCUGGGAGAAAUUCCAGGUAAUUCCUCAUGAGGUUAUAUGACACAUGUGAUAUAAUCAAAGGUAUCGCAAGGUACUGGUAUGAGAUGGGCUUACUGACCAUUAGCUAGUUGGUGAGAUAAGAGCUCACCAAGGCGAAGAUGGUUAGGGGUUUUGAGAGAGAGAUCCCCCACAUUGGAACUGAGAUACGGUCCAAACUCCUACGGGAGGCAGCAGUGAGGAAUAUUGGUCAAUGGACAGAAGUCUGAACCAGCCAAGUCGCGUGAAGGAAGAAGGUCUUACGGAUUGUAAACUUCUUUAGUCAGGGGAAUAAAAGAACGAUACGAGUUAUCGUGUUGAAAGUACUUUGUCGAAAAGGAAGUCGGCGUAACUCCGUGCC